CGAUGGGACCGAAGAUAAGAGCAAGAGUUGCAUUUGCUAUCUCCUCUUGUGCAGUGUCUCUCGAGAUCGCCGCGAUGAGAGGGUACACUCCCCCCGCUCCUACUCCCAGGAAUAACCGGAACACUGCGAACUCUCUUACCUCUCUCUCUUUCUCUGAUCCUCCUCCUCCUCCUCCUUCUCUGUGUCUCCCGGGGCAUA
RNAcentral lists this non-coding RNA (198 nucleotides) under uncultured Mallomonas. The record is from RNAcentral. Lineage: Eukaryota; Synurophyceae; Synurales; Mallomonadaceae.